RNAcentral lists this long non-coding RNA (1388 nucleotides) under Homo sapiens (human). RNAcentral describes it as "LHRI_LNC1271.1". The record is from RNAcentral. Lineage: Eukaryota; Metazoa; Chordata; Mammalia; Primates; Hominidae.
AGCAGGCUCACACCCUGCCCUUCAGAGUUGCAGCAGCUAAUGCUGAUGCCAGGACCUUGUCCUGCCAGGAAGCCUCUGAUUAGGGCUGUGAACCAACUUCCUUUUCACAUCUGCAAGGACACUUGGAGGCAACUGCCCAAGGCCACUCUGAGGAGGGUUGAAUGUUCUUUAUUAAAAGGACUGAGGAUCAUGUGUGUUGGUGGGCCUUGGACUCUGCUCUAAGCUCAAAUUUUGCAGUUUCUGCUGUCAUCACAGCUGGGAAUGAGAAAGGGAAGGGGCUCCAGUUGGUCUCCCUCUGCCUCUGGAGCACACGUGGAGGACAUGAGGCUUCCGCAGGAACAGCUCUGAAAGCUGAGUUCUCGGGUCCCUGUGAAGGAGGGAAGCUUGCCUGCCUUGGAGCGUGAAAAAGUCUUGCUGGACAGAAGUCUCACGGUUUAAAACUGGGAAGGGAGAGGAUUGAGAUCACACUAGAAUGCACAGAAAAUUCUUAAAACAAAAAAAUGAGAGAAACUUCAUCAGAAUGUGAAAAGAACUAUAAAGCUACAGUGCUGAAGAGAGGGCAAUACUGGCACUAGAAUGAGAAGAUUCAUGGAACACAGUGGAAAAUGCAGUAAGAGAGCUGCAUACACAUGGAGGCAACCACUCAAGGCCACUCUGAGAAGGGUUGAACGUGCUUUAAAUUAAAAGGACUGAGGAUCAUGUGUGUUGGUGUGUCUUGGACUCUGCUCUAAGACUCAUGGAGGCAACCACUCAAGGUCACUCUGAGAAGGGUUGAACGUGCUUUAUUAAAAGGACUGAGGAUCAUGUGUGUUGGUGUGUCCCGGAGUCUGCUCUAAGGCCCUGUGGCUGCCUGGUGCCCUGGGAAUGGUCCGGUCAUGGGCCUCAGCCCAGGAUGAGCAGCCAACAAUGCAAUCCCACGAAGAGUGUGCGGAAGGGAGAGGUUACUUCUCAAGAUGGAGCUGCCAAAUAGGGACACUUUGGAGAGUCUGGCCUGAGAACUUUUAGUUUCAAGAAUGUAUUGCUUUGGAAAAGACAGAAUAAAAGUCCAAGCACUGCCACUUAGAGGUUGUAUGUCCUUGGGAAAGUCACUGUACUUGGCAAUUAUAACCUUUACCCUGGAUACACCAUUCAUCUCCUGGGGCCAGGGGUUGUGCCACCUUGUUCAUUUCUAAACUAAAUGAUAUCUAAGCUAGUCUUUACCACAGUUUAAUUCUUACAAUAAUACUCCAAAGGAGAUAUAAUCAACCACAUUUCACAGAUGAGAGAGUUGGAAUCUUAAAAAGGUUAAACUCUUCGAGGUCAUUUGACGAAUAAAUAAUGGAGCCUGGAUUUCAACUGAAGUCUAACAAAUUCCAAAAUCCUGGCUACCGGCCAUUUAUAUUCGUGUG